This 68-nucleotide transfer RNA is filed under the name human gut metagenome. It matches the Rfam family "tRNA". Rfam says of the family: Transfer RNA (tRNA) molecules are approximately 80 nucleotides in length. Their secondary structure includes four short double-helical elements and three loops (D, anti-codon, and T loops). The record is from RNAcentral.
CAGGUAUAGUUCAUUGGUAGAACAUCGGCUUCCCAAGCCGAAUAGGUGGGUUCGAUUCCCAUUACCUG